CUUGUGACCAGCUGAGCCUUCUCCAAGUUCGUGACAAGAAACCCAUAUUUGUGGCUCUUUAAGAAGGUUUGACCCUGAUUCCUCAAGGACUGGGACACACAACUGACAUGAGACCACACCAACCAAAAAUCAGAUUCAGGAAAUGAUGCAAGUUUAAUUUCUGUUUGAAAUGCUCAGAAAUAUGGCACCUUGGAAAAGGAGAUUUUCCAGACCUGAGACUGGGCUGAGUAUAUGACUACUCAUACUUUUGUCUGGCUCAAAGUACAGGUUGUAAAAGACUUUGAAAAGUGGCUUUGAAUAGUACUGGAGGCAAUCCAAAGCCAAAUUUAAUUUGAAUUUUCUAUCUGAGCUGAUACAAAUUCUACAAGAGUGAAAAUAUGUUCUAUAGGUCUUCUUAGGCACUUUACUACAUAGGAGGAGCUGUAAGUGCAGAAUUUGAAACUUCAGCACAUCCUUAACAAGGAUGCAACUGAAAUAAAACACUUCCAAGGUCAGUAUUAAUCUAAUAC
RNAcentral lists this long non-coding RNA (509 nucleotides) under Junco hyemalis (dark-eyed junco). Its description in RNAcentral is "lncRNA (ENSJHYG00000010283.1)". The record is from RNAcentral. Lineage: Eukaryota; Metazoa; Chordata; Aves; Passeriformes; Passerellidae.